RNAcentral lists this ribosomal RNA (373 nucleotides) under uncultured bacterium. Its description in RNAcentral is "bacterial SSU rRNA". It matches the Rfam family "Bacterial small subunit ribosomal RNA", at positions 523 to 898 of the family's 1533-position model. The record is from RNAcentral.
AUACGGGGGAUGCAAGCGUUAUCCGGAUUUAUUGGGUUUAAAGGGUGCGUAGGCUGCUCGACAAGUCGGCGGUGAAACCCCGGGGCUCAACCCCGGGCCUGCCGUCGAAACUGCCGAGCUUGAGUUCGGAUGCCGUGGGAGGAAUGAGUGGUGUAGCGGUGAAAUGCAUAGAUAUCACUCAGAACACCGAUUGCGAAGGCAUCUCACGAAUCCGAAACUGACGCUGAGGCACGAAAGCGUGGGGAUCAAACAGGAUUAGAUACCCUGGUAGUCCACGCAGUAAACGAUGAUGACUAACCGUCGGCGAUAAACAGUCGGUGGCCAAGCGAAAGCGAUAAGUCAUCCACCUGGGGAGUACGACCGCAAGGUUGAA